This 261-nucleotide unclassified non-coding RNA is filed under the name uncultured fungus. RNAcentral's name for it is "partial contains 5.8S ribosomal RNA, internal transcribed spacer 2, and large subunit ribosomal RNA". The record is from RNAcentral. Lineage: Eukaryota; Fungi.
AACGCACAUGGCGCCCCCCGGCAUCCCGGGGGGCAUGCCUGUCCGAGCGUCGUUUCAACCCUCGAGCCCCCGGCUCGGUGUUGGGGACCCGCGCGCGCCGCGGCCCCCGAAAACCAGCGGCGGUCCGGCGGAAGCCCCCUUGCGUAGUAACUCACGUCUCGCAUCGGCGGCCCGCCCGCGACCCGCCCCUAAACCCCCCGCAAGCCCGCCCCCGGCGGCACGGUUGACCUCGGAUCAGGUAGGAAUACCCGCUGAACUUAA